Molecule: long non-coding RNA, 1064 nt
Filed under: Gossypium raimondii (Peruvian cotton)
Lineage: Eukaryota; Viridiplantae; Streptophyta; Magnoliopsida; Malvales; Malvaceae
Description: long non-coding RNA (GRAI_LNC001201)
Source: RNAcentral
UCUCCCUUUCAACCACAACCACUUGUUUAUGCCCUUCAAAUACUCUUGACCAUUGCUUUAAAAUUACCGCAAAUUAAUUCAAUUACUUCGUCAAUCAAUUCCAUUUUUCUUGUUAUAAUAAUGACGAACCCAUUACAAAUAUCAUCAGGAGAAUUCAUAUUGCAUCCCACAUCAAUGAGAUAUCUCGACAUAGAUGCUAUCCUCUCAAACGUUUUUUUUACACCAUAAGGAAAAAGGUAUUCUAAUACACUGUAACUUUACCACUCUUUCCUCAACCUUGAAUUCAGGGUACCAUGGUUUGAUAUCCAUAAGCCACUGCUGAAGCCAUUUCCAUCCAUCACUCUCCAUUGCCUCUCAAACUUCUUCGUCGUCGAAUUCAAUUAGAAAAUAUUCUGCAGAUAAUCUUACCGAUCGAACAAUGAAUAUUCCUUGAGCUCUGAAGUUUGAUACCAGCCAGUCCACAUCAAAGACACCUCAGGCUUUACCAAUAACGCUUGUUUCUAGAGCUUGUAGUUUUCCUCCAUCCACUUCAACUAGACAACUCCUGAGCUGAUUAAUUUUGUGAGUCUCACCAAUCGUGUCCCUCUAAGUAGUAGCCUGAUCAUUUCGUCUCAUUGUAGUAUUGUCAACUUCCUCGUAACUUUUCACCUUCCUUCUCCAAUACGUCGUUCGGUUUCCGAAUUUCGCCAGAUUAACCCCAAUUCGUUUAUCCAAUAUUAGAGAACCAUUCAAACGUCUCAUUGCCCUCACAACCUCAUUUUUGAAAUAAAUCUCAGAAAUGCAAAUUUCUUCCUUGUUCUUCUCCGUUUCUUGGGAAUAACAACAUCAACAACCUUGCCAUAUUUCCCCAAGAUCGAUCUAACCCAUCUGCAGUUUUUCCUGUCUAGGAGGUUAUUUACGAAUAAAUAAGUUGGCCUCAUGAUAAUAGCGUUGUUAGGACCUGAUGUGUAACUUGUGUUGAGAAUUAGUAAACAAGAAUCCGUUCCAAUGUUUCUAUGUUCACUUGUUCUUGAGCCCCCACUUCCCAUGACUUUGAGCCGUCAUUUUCAUGUCCUUUAUAAGCA